Molecule: ribosomal RNA, 492 nt
Filed under: uncultured bacterium
Lineage: Bacteria
Description: partial 16S ribosomal RNA
Rfam family: Bacterial small subunit ribosomal RNA
Source: RNAcentral
AGUGAACGCUGGCGGUAGGCCUAACACAUGCAAGUCGAACGGCAGCACAGUAAGAGCUUGCUCUUACGGGUGGCGAGUGGCGGACGGGUGAGGUAUACAUCGGAAUCUACUUUUUCGUGGGGGAUAACGUAGGGAAACUUACGCUAAUACCGCAUACGACCUACGGGUGAAAGCAGGGGAUCUUCUGACCUUGCGCGAUUGAAUGAGCCGAUGUCGGAUUAGCUAGUUGGCGGGUUAAAGGCCCACCAAGGCGACGAUCCGUAGCUGGUGUGAGAGGAUGAUCAGCCACACUGGAACUGAGACAGGGUCCAGACUCCUGCGGGAGGCAGCAGAGGGGAAUAUUAGGCAAUGGGCGCGAGCAUGAUCCAGCCAUACCGCGUGGGUGAAGAAGGCCUUCGGGUUGGAAAGCCCUUUUGUUGGGAAAGAAAAGCAGCAGGUUAAUACGCCGCUGUUCUGACGGUACCCGAAGAAUAAGCACCGGCUAACUUCGUG